GAUCAUGGCUCAGAAUCAACGCUGGCGGCGCGCUUAACACAUACAAGUCGAACGAGAAAGGGAGCAAUCCUGAGUAAAGUGGCGCACGGGUGAGUAACACGUGGGUAAUCUACCCUCUGGUGGGGAAUAACUCUGGGAAACCGGAGCUAAUACCGCAUAAGACCGGAAGGUGAAAGGCGCAAGUCGCCGGAGGAGGAGCCCGCGGCCGAUUAGCUGGAUGGUAGGGUAAUGGCCUACCAUGGCUGAGAUCGGUAGCCGGCCCUGAGAGGGCACACGGCCACACUGGCACUGAAACACGGGCCAGACUCCUACGGGAGGCAGCAGUGGGGAAUCUUGCACAAUGGGGGAAACCCUGAUGCAGCGACGCCGCGUGAGCGAUGAAGCCCUUCGGGGUGUAAAGCUCUUUCGGCAGGGACGAUAAUGACGGUACCUGCAGAAGAAGCUGCGGCUAACUACGUG
RNAcentral lists this ribosomal RNA (459 nucleotides) under uncultured bacterium. RNAcentral's name for it is "bacterial SSU rRNA". It matches the Rfam family "Bacterial small subunit ribosomal RNA", at positions 15 to 507 of the family's 1533-position model. The record is from RNAcentral.